Saccostrea cuccullata (small rock oyster) is the source of this 615-nucleotide long non-coding RNA. RefSeq lists it as uncharacterized. NCBI's taxonomy places the organism in Eukaryota, Metazoa, Mollusca, Bivalvia, Ostreida, Ostreidae. The record is from RefSeq and is a predicted model, not a curated record. The transcript is spliced from 3 exons.
CAAGAAGUGUACUGUUCUAUGCUGUUUGGUACCUUGCAACAACCGUUCAGGCGAUUUUAUUUCUAGGUACAACAUGCACGACAAGAUCAAGAUGUACCCCAUGAUUUUCAGGUUUUUAAUAACCGCCAAAGGAACAGACUGGAGUUUCCAUUAGUAAGCAGUCAAAAUGUACAACCUGAAUAAACACUUUGCAGUAUAAUCCCUUUGAUCCAGAUGUGCUAAAAGACAACUGUGAUGCUGAAACCAUCUGGCUGGGCUAAGAAUCACAUCUGUGUUGAAUUUGGCCACAUGUCAACAUGACUGAGGUGUUUACACUCGAGCUGCAAUGAAAGACCUAAAAUGUUCAUCAGAAUUUUACCAAUUGAAAGCCAAAGAAAGUCAAGACUGAAGUUGGAAAAAUAAAGGGAAGAAGCAUUUGUGUCAGAACCUCCCAUAAGAUUUAAAGCACUUUUGUAUGAACAGACCUGCUGCAAACAUGUAAAUGAUACACUUUUUGAGGAACUUUUGUCAUACUAAAUCCGUCUUUUUUUCCAUUCAGUGUGCCCAUUUAUGUUAGUCCUAAGUUUAAGCUUGCAAAAGUUAAGCAAUGAUACAUUAUACAUAUAUUACAUGGCU